GUGGGUGUGCCGGAAUGGUUAUCGGGCAUGACUAGAAAUCAUGUGGGCUUUGCUCGCUCAGGUUCAAAUCCUGUCGCUCACC
This is a non-coding RNA of Gossypium hirsutum (cotton), 82 nucleotides long. The record is from Rfam. Lineage: Eukaryota; Viridiplantae; Streptophyta; Magnoliopsida; Malvales; Malvaceae.